RNAcentral lists this ribosomal RNA (241 nucleotides) under uncultured bacterium. RNAcentral describes it as "partial 16S ribosomal RNA". It matches the Rfam family "Bacterial small subunit ribosomal RNA", at positions 15 to 245 of the family's 1533-position model. The record is from RNAcentral.
GAUCAUGGCUCAGGAUGAACGCUAGCUACAGGCUUAACACAUGCAAGUCGAGGGGCAGCAUGAACUUAGCUUGCUAAGUUUGAUGGCGACCGGCGCACGGGUGAGUAACACGUAUCCAACCUUCCCGUUACGUCUGGAAUAGCCUUUCGAAAGAAAGAUUAAUACCGGAUAGUAUCGAGGAGAUUGCAUGAUUACCCGAUUAAAGAUUCAUCGGUAACGGAUGGGGAUGCGUUCCAUUAGG